RNAcentral lists this transfer RNA (68 nucleotides) under bacterium. Its description in RNAcentral is "tRNA-OTHER". The record is from RNAcentral.
GCCGGUAAGUUGGACUGGCCCAAGACUUGGUAUUCUUGGAGCCGAGGGUUCGAUCCCCUCUACCGGCU